AGAACGGUCCGCACAACGGAAGAGCAUGAACGAGUCAGGGGUUAACGCCAGCAGCUAUAAGUGUAAACUUUCGUGUGUGUGGGACCGUUCUUCG
This 94-nucleotide non-coding RNA is filed under the name Planctomycetia bacterium. Lineage: Bacteria; Pseudomonadati; Planctomycetota; Planctomycetia. The record is from RNAcentral.